UACAGAGGGUGCAAGCGUUGUUCGGAAUUACUGGGCGUAAAGCGCGUGUAGGUGGCGAUGUAAGUCGGGUGUGAAAUCCCUUGGCUUAACCAAGGAAGUGCAUUCGAUACUGUGUCGCUUGAGUACUGGAGGGGAUGGCGGAAUUCCCGGUGUAGAGGUGAAAUUCGUAGAUAUCGGGAGGAACACCUGUGGCGAAGGCGGCCAUCUGGACAGUCACUGACACUGAGACGCGAAAGCGUGGGUAGCAAACAGG
RNAcentral lists this ribosomal RNA (253 nucleotides) under uncultured bacterium. RNAcentral describes it as "partial 16S ribosomal RNA". It matches the Rfam family "Bacterial small subunit ribosomal RNA", at positions 524 to 776 of the family's 1533-position model. The record is from RNAcentral.